This is a long non-coding RNA of Ornithorhynchus anatinus (platypus), 576 nucleotides long. RefSeq lists it as uncharacterized. NCBI's taxonomy places the organism in Eukaryota, Metazoa, Chordata, Mammalia, Monotremata, Ornithorhynchidae. The transcript is spliced from 2 exons. The record is from RefSeq and is a predicted model, not a curated record.
GAGCCAGUUUCCUCUCACUGCCACCCUGGACAGGGAAGGGGUCACAGACCACCACUGCCCAGUCUCAUCCACAAAGAUGCAGACAUCUGCCGCUGUCCAAUCACCCAACCAGGGCCAAUCCGGGCAGCGUAACCCCAGCCAAAGCCAAGGCUGGAGCCGCAGCCAGGACCAGAGCCAGAUCCCGGACCAGAGCCAGGAUCAGGGCCAGGGCCAGAGCCAGGAUGGGAGUCAGAACCAGGACCAGAGUCCUACGAUUGUACUCAGAGCUCACAACCAGGCAGCGCAGUUCCAAUCCACUCAAGAUUCUAAGACUGUCCAUCGCUCCCAACCCAGAAGCGUUUCCAGAAAGAGGAAGAGCCCCAGGAAAAGGAAGAGGGGUAUGGCCAAGAAGAGGAGCCCAGCCCUUGGGAAGAAAAGGCGCACAGUGAGGAGACGCAAAUGAGGGUGCUCGAAAUCUGUUCCCGAAUGGGAUGAUGCCAGGAGAAGAUGCCACAACCAGGAACCUAACACCAUGCAAGUGCCUUCUCCAGUCAGGCUGAGGGAAAAGGGAUAAUAAAGAUCUUGUUGUGAGAUGCA